RNAcentral lists this unclassified non-coding RNA (259 nucleotides) under Hevea brasiliensis (rubber tree). The record is from RNAcentral. Lineage: Eukaryota; Viridiplantae; Streptophyta; Magnoliopsida; Malpighiales; Euphorbiaceae.
GAAGAAGAGAAAGAAGAAAGAGCCUACCAGCUAACAUGGCAAAGAAGACUCCAAAAUCCAAGAAACGUCGCUCUUGUUCAGCUUCCUCUGCCUCUUCUAACGCCAUCAGAAAAAUCUCCGAGGGUGGUGAUAACGAGAAGAGACCAAAGUCAGCAAUGAAGCCGACGAGGAGGCCAAAGAAGAAAAGUGUGAAAAUUGAUGCUAAAAGGCCUAAGAAGCCCCCGACUGCCUUCUUCUUCUUCCUGGAGGAUUUUCGUAA